Molecule: non-coding RNA, 114 nt
Organism: Triticum urartu
Lineage: Eukaryota; Viridiplantae; Streptophyta; Magnoliopsida; Poales; Poaceae
Source: Rfam
CAAGUACUCCCUCCGUUCCAAAUUACUUGUUUAGAAAUUGAUGUAUCUAGAACUAAAAUACAUUUAGAUACAUCCAUACUUGCGACAAGUAAUUCGGAACAAAGGGAGUAGUUC